UCAGAUGGUUACUCAAAUUAUCCAACAAUAAACAACCAUAAUUAGCAACAUAUGAAAGAGAGCGAAGUGAAAGAUAUCACCAAAAUACAGAGUUUCGUCCAGCAGCCAUAUCUUACUAUCCGAAGCACAAAAUGACAAUCAAGCCGUUCAAAUUGAAGCCCCUGAAUGCAGUCAAAAUUUGAGCAAAAUCGGACUAUGGAUGAGCUUCGAUCGGAGAUGAUCUUCAAGACUGUUUUUUUUAUAUU
RNAcentral lists this long non-coding RNA (245 nucleotides) under Ricinus communis (castor bean). RNAcentral's name for it is "long non-coding RNA (RCOM_LNC000821)". The record is from RNAcentral. Lineage: Eukaryota; Viridiplantae; Streptophyta; Magnoliopsida; Malpighiales; Euphorbiaceae.